UGUUAGCUCAGGGCUAAUCUUCCUCAGCAAAAGAAGGGGAAACAACAAAACAAGAACAACAACAACAAAAGCAGGAUCUGAAACAAAAUCUAUGAAAUCAGAGUUGGAGAUAAAAUAGGAUCUAAUUCUGAAUUCUGAAUUCCUGAUAUGUGUAUCUGUUCCUAUACUAACGCCACAUUGAAUGAUGGAUACAUAGUGUGUUCCAAUAGCUGGAUCCGAACCAGCGAAACACUGGGCCACAGAAGUGGAGCGCGCGAAGUUAAUCACUCGGCCACGGGGCCGGCCUCCAGGUAUGUUUUUAAUGCUAGUUUUAUAAAUCAAAUGUAGAACUUUCCAUCUGCAAUAAUUUUAAUAAUCUUAGAAUUAUUUGUUCUUUAAAGGCUAAAUAAAACUCAUCUCUGAAACCUUCUGCCUUAUGAUCUUUUCAUGCUAACUUUAACCACCUUUCUAACUACCACAGUGGUGACUAGCCUACUCAAAUUCUCCAUUUUUUCUAACAUCAGUUUUGAAACUUUGGCGAUGUGUAGACAGGCAAACAUGCAGUUUCUGCAAGUUUUCCUUUCUUUCAAUGAGAUACGUGUAGUCAUCUCUAAGGGUUCUUUAUCUCCUUUCUCAUUUCUCUUCUAUUUUUG
Non-coding RNA from Equus caballus (horse), 632 nucleotides. Lineage: Eukaryota; Metazoa; Chordata; Mammalia; Perissodactyla; Equidae. The record is from RefSeq and is a predicted model, not a curated record.